AUGGCUCGGUCAAGAUGGAGUCUUGCGAGCAGCGAGCUUUCGGUCAUCCCUGUGCGGCGUGGAGAGCGGCGGUGCUUUCCUGGUGAUGCCGGCCUGGGAUUUCUCCGUGGAGAGGCAGGUCUGAUUGUCGCAAGGUCGUUCCUUGGAGUGGGCGACGGCCGUUGCGGGCAGUCCUGGACCUGGCCGGAGGUGCUGGUUGGCUGCGGACCCUCGUGCAGGCUGGGAGUGGAUGUGUGGCCGCGGUUUCCCUGCCGGGUGGUCGGUCGUUGGUCCUCGGCUAUGCAGCUACUUCGGCAAGUGCUGCGGUGGCGGCGCUGUGAGGCUUCUUGGCAGUGCUACCAAUCCCAUGGAGGCGUGGCGAUGGGCGAAGCGCGGAUGAAAAUUUUGCACGGCUUCUGCCGGGCCGGCGGUGAUGGCAUCAGUGGAUGUCAUUCCCCUCCUUGGAGGCAUCGUCGAGCGUGUUCGCCUCAUCCCUCGCGCUCUCGGUGUUGGUGGAUGUCUCCGGGUGAAAGCCUAGAUUCGAUGUUCUGA
Molecule: ribosomal RNA, 531 nt
Filed under: Triticum aestivum (bread wheat)
Lineage: Eukaryota; Viridiplantae; Streptophyta; Magnoliopsida; Poales; Poaceae
Description: partial small subunit ribosomal RNA
Source: RNAcentral